GGUGAUCCCAACUGUCUAAAUCAGUUUGAAUAAUCUUUUCAACAUACAAUAGUAAAAAAAAGAAAAGUUCAAAUGAUCAACCAAUGAUUGAGUAUUUUAGAUAAAAUAACUUUUCCCUAAUGUGAAACCAGCUUCCGCAUCUCAAUUUCUCAAGAAUCUCUAUCAUCUAACUUUUCUCCAUAAACACCGAUAAACUUACAAGGUAAGGAUGUUUUUGUAAGAUAAAAGCCAAAUACUUAUUUCCCUUGAAAAGCUUCCAUAAACCACAAAGCUAAUCCAUAUAUGGGGGCAAGAGGGAGGAUAUUCAGCUUCAACAUGAGUAGAAAGACAUACUAAAUUCAAGUUUUAUAACAACUGUGUAAGAGCAUGAAACAGAUAGAAGGCAAAUGACCUCCAUCCGAUGAAUCAAUCUCCUUACAAGACUCAAGCAAGAUGCUCCUUGGCUCCUUUCAAAAACUAGCUUAAAUCAUCUCCACAAAUUUUCAAUCUUUACAUACAGAUAAGAGCAACAUUAUCCUCAAUAAGAAUCUUUCAAAUUCUGCUUGCUUGGUAUGAAUUCUAUUUACCUUCUACCUUUACUUGAAACAACCUUAAACUCUCUAAACAUUAAAUUUCCUAAUCUAUAGUCACACCAGUUUUAAAUCCUCAGUUUUGCAAAAUCACAAAUAAUGAAAACCAGAAAUUAAUUGAACAUGGGCAUUUAUAUCAUUUACUAAGAGGAAAGUGUAAUAUGUUUCACAGCAUAUAAAGCUAGAAUCAUGAUAUAAACUUAUCAGUAUCCAAUGUCAUAACAUGUCGGUUCUAUUCAAUGAUCUAAAUACAAGUUGUUGACCGAUCUUAUAUGAAAUCAGAACCAUUAAAGAUUGGUGUUUUAAAGUAGAUAGAAUUCCAUAUUAAGUAGUUAAAAGAAGAAAGAGCCAUUCCCAUAGGAUGUGAAAAGAAAACAAGCUCAAGAUAAUCACAGCUCUACUAAGAAAAGCACAAAAUGAUUUGGUAAUGGCUCUUUCUUCUAAGAAGGUGCAAAACCUUUGUUUUCAAAACCUUUCUCUGUUCUUACAAAUAAAUAUUUCUCUGCUCUUACAAAUAAAUAUUUGAUUAAACUUGACCAGUAAUGAUAUUAUUUUCGGAUUUGCACACAAAAUUAUAGAUUAAUACGUAUGAAAUCCAGAAUUAUAGAUCAAUAAAGAAGAAACUACCUGACGGUCAUCUAAGCAAAUGGAGCAAGCUGCACGAACUCCUGCACCAAAUGCAAUUGUCUACUCUUCAAACAUACCCUAUCAGCAUAAAAUCACUUGUGCAACACCUGGGAGGUAUAAACUAAGUAAAACGGUUUUGAUAACAAUACAGAAAAUCGGGUUCACUGCAGCACUCAACACAACCUUACAAUCCUAUAAUAAACUUUGAAGUACGAAUAUUGACACAGACACCAAAUGCAACACUUACACGGACACAUCGACACUGACAAUAAUUUGAUAAAAGGAAUUAAUUGAAUGUAAUCAAUGUGUCGGUGUCCAAUACUGAAACAUGUCGGAUAUUGGGACAAUUAUUCGAUAAGUAUCCGUGCUGCAGAGACAAUAAAAGGAAAUUAACACAAAUGGUGAACUUUGUUGUAUAUCAAAAUACAGAGGUCCUAGUAGUGCUACAAGACAAGACCCAAUAACAGAGAAACUAUAUCAAUCAAACUCAACAAUAAGACUAACUAUCAUAGAUCAAUGGUGCAACUAACAUUGAUGAUUCUAUAAAUGGUGUAAAGAAGAUGACAGAGGCAGUAAAAAAGAGGCUGCAUUUGCAAGCCAAUAAUUAAUAAUAAUGCAAUUAAGCGUGUACACAAGGUGGAGAAAAUCAAAACAAAACCCCACAAAAAAAUAAUAAUAACAACAAUGAGGAAAAACAAUUUACUCUUUAUAUCAUUAAAUACAAAUUUAUACAACAAAGAAGAAAAACAAAUAACUCAGAACCAUAAACACCGGCGGCGUCAACUGAGCUCACAUCUACUCCGAACCCCGGCGGGGAAGAAAGGUGUGACGGCUGGCCAUCAAUCCCCGGUGAAUUCUCCNNNNNNNNNNNNNNNNNNNNNNNNNNNNNNNNNNNNNNNNNNNNAAAGAGUGUCAUCAUACGAAGGAGGAGCACCACUUUCCGGAGGCGAUUUCGCAGACACAAUUGGAUUCUUUCCAAAAAUCUCUUUUGGUAACAAAACCUUAGAAACGCCGAAAAUCGCUAUAGGAUUCUGAUCAAACACCGUCUGAGUAAUUAAAGCUUGAACAAUGCCGGUAUUAAUCGCGACGGAGCCGUUAAACCUAGAAAUGUUGAGCGUGAAGCUUCCGGCGCCCAUGGUUUCAGUGGCGAGUGUAGGCUGCAAUGGAUUCGAAGUGGAUUGAAGUGAACCAAGAGGGUAAUAAGCACGGAGAACGUGGUUUUUGAGAACAACGGCUUUUUUAUCCGCCGGAAGUGAUUGUAACGAAACGGAGGGAGGUAGAUCGGCGAAAGCGUCAUCGACGGGAAUAAACAUCGUGAUUCCGGCGCCGCCUUCACCGGCUUCGAAUUCAUUAACGACGCCGGAAGCAGAAAGCAUUGAAGCAGCGACAUUGAAAUUAUGAGCUUCGAUUAAAGUUUUAGUAAUGUUUAGAAGUAUGCUAGGACGAGUUUCCGAUGCCAUGAGAUCAAAACCAUAAGGGAUUAAGAGAGAACUAACGGUGAAGAUUGUAACGUUGUAAGGUAGGGUUUUGAUAAGUUCGAUAACGGUUGCGUUUGAAGAAGAAUAAGGUGCAGGUGAACGGAUCGAAACGGCGUCGGUAUGAGGGUCGUGUGUGAUGUUAACGGAGCCGAAAUUGUUUGUAGCGCGGCCGGUAGUUUGGAAGAGAGUGGUGACGAGUUUUCCGGAGGGAGGGAGGGAGUGGAGGUCGGACCAUGAGAGAAAUUGGAGGAGAACGUGGUAGCGGAGGACGUCGGUGAGGGCGGAGGAGGAAAGUUGGUGGUGGGAGAGGUGAGGGUCGGUAGAGAGGAAGGAGUUUGGGACGGCGAGGAGAGAGAGGGAAGUGCGGUGGGAGAGUUCGGUGGUGAGGGGAGUUGCGGCGGAGAGGAGGGCGGUGAAUUGGGAUAAGUCGGGGAAGGUUGAGAGGAGAGCGGUGAUGUUGAGGGAGAGGGAUGGUGUUGGGGAUAAGAUUAGUAAAUAUAGCAUAAAUGUGAGGGUAAUUUGGGGAAGUAAAAUGCAAUUAUGAGAUUGAGAAGGCAUAAUGUUUGUUAAUUAAUCUCUGUCUUUCUAUGUUUAUCUAUGUAUGUAAUGUAACUAGUUCUUGUUCAAGUUGAAGUUGAAGUUGAAGUUGAAGUUCAAUGAUGGUGGAUCUGGAUUUAGAUUUGGUGGUGUUGUUGUUUUAGUUGUGUCAUGUUCCCUUGUCUGAGGUGUAGAUGAGGCAGAUGAGUGAAGUGAAGUGAACUGAGUGGAAGAGAGAGAGUGUGUGAGUGAGUGGGUUGCGUUGUGUUGUGUUUGUGUUUGUGUUUGUGUGAUCUGUCAUGAAUCAUGACUUGAGCACCAUGGUGAUGCAACGUAGAUGUGGACUGUUUUUCAUUUAUUUAUGGGAAACUAAUAAGGUAGAUCAGAAUUUUAAAAUUACAAAAAAUAAUAUCAACCAUCUACAACACUCUUCUCUUCUAUCAUCACAAUACUAUUCUCUUCGGUGAAUAUAUGUUAGAUGAAUUGGGUUUUAAAUAUCACAUUUAUUUUUUAUAUUCAAUAAAUUAUUGUUUCAUCCAUAAAAUAUAAGAGCAAUGCUUUAAAAAGUAUAGCAAAUUUUUUAUAAAAUUUUAAAUUAAUUUUGAGUAUUAAUUUAUAGUGGAUCAUUAUUAUUAAUUUUUUAAUCUUUAGUUGUUUAUUUGUAUCUACAUAUUAGCAAUUAUCUCCAUUUUUUUAUGGUUACCGUAUCAUAAUUUACUUUUUCUUUUACAAGUGUAUCUCAAUUUACUUGAUUAUUAUAUUAGUUAUGUAUUAUAUUAUUCACAAAAAUACAUAUUUAAUCUUUUAAGUAUAAUUCAAGUUUUAUUUAAGUUUUUAAAGAGUAUUUUUUUCUCAAUUCGAAUUUUUAAAUUACAUUUAUUUUCAUUUUUAGUAUUUAAGAUGCAUUAAAUUACGCAUGUAGUUUUUUAUGUUUGAAAUUUUUUUUUAAAUUACUCUCAUGAAUGUUAAAAUCUAAUCACAAUAAGUUGAUUCUUUAAGUUAUUUUGCAUGUGAAGAAAAGUAAAUAUAUUAAUUAUCUGAAUAGGUUGUUAUUACUUAUUGCAACAUUUGAUAGAAGUUCAAAUGAUCGUAAAAUUUUAAUUUGAUUGUUGUCAAAAUUGAGAUUGAUAUAACUAACGAUACAAAAAAAAUAUAACUUAAGAACCAAAUUGAGAUAGAACAAUUUUAAAGAACUUAAGCAAAAAUUGAGUUAAACUUAAAGAUCUAUAUGUGUGUUUUUUGUUUAUAUUAUUAAUAAAAGUACUUUAUAAAUGAAGUUUUAUUUUAUUAUAUAAGUAAGUCAUUUUUUUUAAAAAAAAAUAUACAUAAUUUUAAAUAGGGUCUAAUAAUGUUUAAUCAUUUUGUAACUACCAGUAAAUGUAAAGACAUUAAUAACACAUAAAUUUUCACUUUUCGCACUAAAGUGUAUGAAUCUAACUAAUAUAUUAUUUGACCAAAAUAAUAAUAAUAAUAAUAAUAAUAAUAAUAAUAAUAAUAAUAAUAAUAAUAAUAAUGACUAAUAAACAUAAUAAAUUGUACAUUCAUUAGUAUAUAUUUGGUUUUGUGAUAAAAUUAAUGGUAAAACUAUUAUAAGUAUCUCUCUAUAAUUUUGUCAUUAAACCAAAUAUACAUUUAAAAAUGUCUAUAAAAAAAUAAACAAAACUCAAAACGUAAUCGAAUUUUACUCAUAUAUGAGGGACAUUUAGUUUCUUUGUCCUAUUUGAGAUGCAUGCAAGUAGGGACAGGAAUAGGUUAGGUCGUCCGUCUGGGGAUGGUCUGGACCGACCUAUUUAAGGUCUGACUUGACCUAUUUAAUUAAAAAACUAGGUCCGAGCUAUUUUUAAAGCCUAUUUAUUUAAAUUGGUCAGACUCAAGCUUAUAAAAAAUCCAAUUAGCCCUGACAGACCGGCAUAUGUAUAUUUUAUUAUUUAUUAAUGUUAUUUUUUAUUAUUAUUUAUUAAUAAUAUUAUUUUCUAUUUUAAAGUCUAUUAAUUAGGCAAUCACUCAGUAGUCGAUCCAUAUUCGGUAGUCAUUCCAUGUUCGGUAGUCAUGUUCGAUUAGACAAUCACUGAGUAGUCAUUCCAUAUUUGUUUGAGAGAUAAUAAUAGGUGUGUUUGUUUCCGAAAAAAAUCUAUUAUUUGAAACCAAAAAUCAUGUUUUAGGAUUUAAAAGGUAUUUGUUUCAAAUUUUUUAAAAAUUAUUUUAUUAGAAAAAUCAUUUUUUGUUUAAUAUAUAUAAAUAUGUAUAGUGGUAUUGGUAUAUGGAGAACAUUAUGUGGUAUGAAUAGAACAUCAUGUAAAUUGAUAUGGAGACAAACGAGGGGGCACAACCUCAUAUGGAUAGUGCCGUCUUGAAGCAACAAUCUUUACAUUGAAAAAUGAUUUUGCUGAAGUAUAUGAUUGUAAUAUCUCUCUCUCAUGUAUGCAUAAUUAAUAAGUAGUGACUAAAGUGACAUAUACCUUUCGCCCUUUUCCAUUGUUUUUUUCGUCUUUCUCUAAUCCUAAAUUUCUUUCCCCCAAAUUCACAUUUUUCCACCAAAUUCUUGUUUUUCCCCUAAAUUCAAGUUUAAUCAAUUCAUCUUCAUCGAAUAUUAUAAUGAUGAAAAGUCAUCACCACAGUAACAUCAAUCUUCUUUCUCCCGGCUGAAAAAUUCUACACAAGUUAAAUUUAUGAAAGAUCAUUCUACACUUGCUCAAUAAAAAAAGUAAUGAUAAUCUAAGUUAUGGAUUUUAUAUUAAAGGAAAAAAUAAAAUUCAACUAAUUUGAGAUUAUGGUUUAUUUUUCUAAAUUCAGUUUGAGACUUAACUUUGAAAUCAAUAUUAUUUUUUCUAGAUUCGAUUUGAGAUUCAAAUUUGAAAUCAAUUUUAUUUUUGUUGUAGGAUGAAUAUGGCUAUUUAUAGAUACUUUGUAUAAGUUGACGAAUUGAUUGAAGCACUUGGAAAUGAUAAAACAAUUCAAACGUAUGUAAUAGAUCAAAGAUGAGAGAUUGAGAGCACCAAGAAAACGAUAUUGCCACAAAACAAAGAAGAGAUGAAGUGUUCAAGGACAAAGUUAAUACAAAACUUUAAUUUAUAGGGGUUGAAAUAAAGAUGUUUAGAACACUUGUAAUUGGUGUGUUUGCCAUGCAAAUGUUGUAUAUUGUUUGGGUUCACAAGUCAUAAAUUAGGUUUAGUAGUUUGGGUAGUUUUUAAUAUGAGUAGUUUGUAAUGGG
RNAcentral lists this long non-coding RNA (6422 nucleotides) under Cicer arietinum (chickpea). RNAcentral's name for it is "long non-coding RNA (CARI_LNC000204)". The record is from RNAcentral. Lineage: Eukaryota; Viridiplantae; Streptophyta; Magnoliopsida; Fabales; Fabaceae.